UACGGGGGGAGCAAGCGUUGUUCGGAUUUACUGGGCGUAAAGGGCGCGUAGGCGGUCGUGACAAGUCACUUGUGAAAUCUCCGGGCUUAACUCGGAACGGUCAAGUGAUACUGUCGGACUAGAGUACAGAAGGGGCAACUGGAAUUCUCGGUGUAGCGGUGAAAUGCGUAGAUAUCGAGAGGAACACCUGCGGCGAAGGCGGGUUGCUGGGCUGAUACCGACGCUGAGGCGCGAAAGCCAGGGGAGCGAACAGG
This 254-nucleotide ribosomal RNA is filed under the name uncultured bacterium. RNAcentral's name for it is "partial 16S ribosomal RNA". It matches the Rfam family "Bacterial small subunit ribosomal RNA", at positions 524 to 776 of the family's 1533-position model. The record is from RNAcentral.